UACGUAGGGUGCAAGCGUUGUCCGGAAUUAUUGGGCGUAAAGAGCUCGUAGGCGGUUUGUCGCGUCUGCUGUGAAAACUCGGGGCUUAACCCCGGGCCUGCAGUGGGUACGGGCAGACUAGAGUGCGGUAGGGGAGACUGGAAUUCCUGGUGUAGCGGUGAAAUGCGCAGAUAUCAGGAGGAACACCGGUGGCGAAGGCGGAUCUCUGGGCAUUAACUGACGCUGAGGAGCGAAAGCAUGGGGAGCGAACAGG
Molecule: ribosomal RNA, 253 nt
Filed under: uncultured bacterium
Lineage: Bacteria
Description: partial 16S ribosomal RNA
Rfam family: Bacterial small subunit ribosomal RNA
Source: RNAcentral